UACGUAGGGCGCAAGCGUUAUCCGGAAUUAUUUGGGCGUAAAGAGCUCGUAGGCGGUUUGUCGCGUCUGCCGUGAAAGUCCGGGGCUCAACUCCGGAUCUGCGGUGGGUACGGGCAGACUAGAGUGCGGUAGGGGAGAUUGGAAUUUCCUGGUGUAGCGGUGGAAUGCGCAGAUAUCAGGAGGAACACCAAUGGCGAAGGCAGAUCUCUGGGCCGUAACUGACGCUGAGGAGCGAAAGCAUGGGGAGCGAACAGG
RNAcentral lists this ribosomal RNA (255 nucleotides) under uncultured bacterium. RNAcentral describes it as "partial 16S ribosomal RNA". It matches the Rfam family "Bacterial small subunit ribosomal RNA", at positions 524 to 776 of the family's 1533-position model. The record is from RNAcentral.